UUCUAUAUCUCUAUAGAAGCUUUUAUGUUAAAACUAGUAACAAGAAUAAAAUUCUCCUAAUGCAAGCGUAAGUCAGAAAGGAUAAACCACUGAUAAUUAACACCUGUGAGCCCAUAGAAGCAACUCCACAAGAAAACCCUUCCUCAUCCAAUGUUAAUCUUACUCAAGAGCAUUUCUGGAAAGAUUAAAAGAGAAAGAAGGAACUCGGCAAAAUUUAACCCCGCCUGUUUACCAAAAACAUCGCCUUUUGAAAACUAAUAAAAGGUCUAGCCUGCCCAGUGACUUUGUUCAACGGCCGCGGUAUCCUAACCGUGCGAAGGUAGCGUAAUCACUCGUUCUUUAAAUGAGGACUAGUAUGAAUGGCAUCACGAGGGUUCUACUGUCUCCUCCCUCUAAUCAGUGAAACUAAUCUCCCCGUGAAGAAGCGGGGAUAAGCCUAUAAGACGAGAAGACCCUAUGGAGCUUUAAACACACAACAAUUGCCCCGCUCCCCUAUAAAUCUCCGGAAAGCCAUCUACCCGGGCAUUUUGAUUGCAAGUUUUAGGUUGGGGUGACCGCGGAGUAAAAAUUAACCUCCACAGCGAAUGGGACUUCUCCCUAAACUCAGGGUUACGACCCUAAGAAUCAAUAAAUUGACACCCAUUGACCCAAUUUCUUUGACCAACGAACCAAGUUACCCUAGGGAUAACAGCGCAAUCCAUUUCAAGAGCUCCUAUCGACAAGUGGGUUUACGACCUCGAUGUUGGAUCAGGGUACCCCAGUGGUGCAGCCGCUGCUAACGGUUCGUUUGUUCAACGAUUAAAACCCUACGUGAUCUGAGUUCAGACCGGAGCAAUCCAGGUCAGUUUCUAUCUAUAAAGAGUUUCUUCUAGUACGAAAGGACCGAAGAAACAUGGCCAAUGCCCCCGUAAGCCAUAGCAACUUAUUUAUGACUUAACCUCAAUAAAAACAUGCUUCUAAAUGAACUCAAGAAAAGAGUA
This 980-nucleotide ribosomal RNA is filed under the name Leptodactylus leptodactyloides. Its description in RNAcentral is "partial large subunit ribosomal RNA". It matches the Rfam family "Bacterial large subunit ribosomal RNA", at positions 1492 to 2829 of the family's 2925-position model. The record is from RNAcentral. Lineage: Eukaryota; Metazoa; Chordata; Amphibia; Anura; Leptodactylidae.